Molecule: ribosomal RNA, 253 nt
Filed under: uncultured bacterium
Lineage: Bacteria
Description: partial 16S ribosomal RNA
Rfam family: Bacterial small subunit ribosomal RNA
Source: RNAcentral
UACGGAGGGUGCGAGCGUUGUCCGGAAUCACUGGGCGUAAAGGGCGCGUAGGCGGCCGAUCAAGUCAGGGGUGAAAGCCUGUGGCUCAACCACAGAAUUGCCUUUGAUACUGUUUGGCUCGAGACCGGAAGAGGUUGGUGGAACUGCGAGUGUAGAGGUGAAAUUCGUAGAUAUUCGCAAGAACACCAGUGGCGAAGGCGGCCAACUGGUCCGGAUCUGACGCUGAGGCGCGAAAGCGUGGGGAGCAAACAGG